UUUGGUGGCCUGGCUUUUGGCAGCUGUCUGAGCCAGUUGUCUUCUUUCUCUCUCUUAACUCUUAAGUAUGCUUCCUUAUUCUCCUCUCACUAUAUUUCUCUCUCCUCCCGUUUCUCCUCUCCCCGCUCUCACUCUCUAUCUCCUCCAUUGGAGCAGUUUCUGAGGUUCAGGUGAAACCAAUAAUUAGUUCCGCCCCCAUUUGCGGCUCCCUUCCUACAACAAAGGCCUUCUCUGAGAAGCAAUGACGAUAAGUUCAGAAUCAAUACAAACAAUGAAAAAUCAAUUACAUCGAUAUUUCCCCAUUGGCGAUAAUCAACACUAAUCUUGAGGUUGACAGUACUUACCCUCCCGUCGUUGAAGCUUUUAGCCGAAAAAUUCUCGAAGCUGAUUGUGUUCUCUUCGCUUCUCCUCGGGAUAAAAGGAAGGAUGUGGCUCCAAACCGUGUUGCUUCUUCAGGGAAAACUCCUCCUAUCCUUGCUGUGAUAGUCCUUCUUGACUCGCAACUAUACUUGUUAUGAUGUGUGCUAUUUGGUUCUGCAGGAACAAAUUCAUCUUUGAAAACAUAUCAUUGAACAUAGUUCACACAAAGUUUUCGUUAGAACUGCAGCUCAUGACUACCCUUCUGCAUCAGGUUGGAUCCCCCUAAAGGUAUAAUCAUGUUAAAUGUGGACGCUAAUAAUUUGGUCUCUGGAUCACAUGUUGGGUUGGGGGUGGUUAAAAAAAAAAACGAGCUUGCAAUUGGGUAGUGUUGCUUGCUUCAGUUAAGAGGUGUGGUAGUUUUUUUUGGUUGAAUUUGAGUGAUGUAUCGUUUUUUGGGGUUGAUUUUUUAUAUUAUUAGUAGCAUUAUUGUCUGAUAUGUAACAGAAUUGUUGAUCUACAGGUACAAUUCUAUCGCCCCUUUCUCUUUCUUAAUUCUAAUUGGUUCAAUUUUCAUCUAACCUUUAAUAUGAAUAGCUUACUUGUGAUUUUUUGCCUAUAUUUCCAUUUUCUCCCAAUACUUUCUCUUUUUAAUUUGCUUAUAUGCAUAUGGUGUUUGCUGCCAAAAUUUAUGUUGUCAAGUUAGAUAUUGUUGUUGUGAGUGACUAUAGAGGGUAGUUGUUGUUUCACGCUAUUGCCGCUGUUGUUCUGGUGCUUCCUGUUACUGCUGUUCUGUUCAUCCAAAAAUCAUCGACCUGAAGUUGUUUUUAGCUCAUAGUCUCUUCAUUAAUGUUUUAGAUCUUGAAAAGUUAUUCAAUCUAGGCUCAAGAAUUUCUCGAUUUGGAGUUGUGUGCUAGGAGUUAUGCCUUCUGGAAUUUACUGCGGUCUGCUACCCUGGUUCUAUCGCAGCGGGUUGUUAUUGCUCAUUUGAUGCCUAUGUGGUGUUGUUGUGUUGAGUUGGUUGGGGUGAUAAAAUGAAUGCUUGGGCUUCUCUUAUUUAUUUUGUCUUCCCUUCUUCCAUUUUUUUACACAUUAGUUAUAAAGUUAAAAUGUGGUCAAUUUUGAUUAAUGACUAUUUGGAUAAUGGCUAAUUGAUAAAUUGCCAAAAUGAUGAGGAUUAAUGUAUAUGUAAAAAUUAGAGAUUUGAUUUCUCAGCAUUCUAAAGUAAGGGCCUUAUUUAAUUUUUUUGAUUAAGAUCGUUAAAUGUCUAAGUGAUUAUUUUCUUAAUGAAGGUUGCUAGAUAAUUUGCUCUGACAAGCAGAGGAGUCCAGACUCAAAACCCUCGCAUAACCAUCAUGGAACUGUUGCUCUUCUGUAAAUUUUCAUUUAAAAAAAAAGACGAUUCUAAUAUUUCUUAAUUAAAAUAUUGGAUGAUUUCAAAAUUGAACUAAUUGUUUUCAAUUAUCUUCAAUGAUUAAACCUUUAUAACACACUCUUGAUCCAAAAUGGACAGCCAUGUAUUACUUUAUUAUAAAUUAUUAACAGAGUGCUCAACGAUCCAUAUAAUUUCUUCUGUAGUUUAUGUAAUUGUUAACUUGAAAUCCUGUAUUAUACUAUUAUUACACUUUAUGCUUUGAUUAGGGAUCAAUAAGUGUGUUAACAGAUAAAACAAUGAGGUAUGCUUGCAAAAACAAGUAAACUAUCUCAGUAUUGAUCUAAGCUUGUAACAUACUAUCCCGUAUUAACUUUGUGGCAGAAUUUAUAUGAUGACACUACAAGUGUGAUAUCAAGAAUUCCUUUUCAACUAAAAUAUUUGGUUUUGGUUAAUUGGAGUUCUGGUCUGACUCUUUCAGGUUAAUACUCUAAGGUAGCAACUGCAGCUCAUUGCAUCAAGCAUAUAGCAAUGACAAUUAUGACUUCAAAUGCAACAGGUUCCUUUUCUUUAUCUUGUCGUUCAGGCAAAACAAAAUGUGUGCUUCAAAAGAGUUCACUGAUAUGUAGUACGGAGUAAUAAUAUUGAGCUUCGUAGCUUUUUGGCUUGUUCUUUUACACAUUUUGAGAUUCAUUUUUUAUGUCAAGAAUCUUCUAGGCCCAGAACUCUAUAUUCUUUGUAAAAUAUCUUCUGAUCAUGUGCUCUAUAUAGCUUGGUUUGAUUCUUGUCCAACUGGUUGUGUUAAUAUGUUCUUUUGGAUACAUUUAUAAUCUAUGAAUAUAAUCAAUUUGUUUUGUUCUGGAUAAUUUGGAGUGGAAGUUGCAUGUUAAAUUGUUAAUUGGUUGUA
This is a long non-coding RNA of Chenopodium quinoa (quinoa), 2636 nucleotides long. RefSeq lists it as uncharacterized. The transcript is spliced from 4 exons. NCBI's taxonomy places the organism in Eukaryota, Viridiplantae, Streptophyta, Magnoliopsida, Caryophyllales, Amaranthaceae. The record is from RefSeq and is a predicted model, not a curated record.